This 549-nucleotide ribosomal RNA is filed under the name Bifidobacterium animalis subsp. lactis. RNAcentral describes it as "bacterial SSU rRNA". It matches the Rfam family "Bacterial small subunit ribosomal RNA", at positions 158 to 708 of the family's 1533-position model. The record is from RNAcentral. Lineage: Bacteria; Bacillati; Actinomycetota; Actinomycetes; Bifidobacteriales; Bifidobacteriaceae.
GGGUGGUAAUACCGGAUGCUCCGCUCCAUCGCAUGGUGGGGUGGGAAAUGCUUUUGCGGCAUGGGAUGGGGUCGCGUCCUAUCAGCUUGUUGGCGGGGUGAUGGCCCACCAAGGCGUUGACGGGUAGCCGGCCUGAGAGGGUGACCGGCCACAUUGGGACUGAGAUACGGCCCAGACUCCUACGGGAGGCAGCAGUGGGGAAUAUUGCACAAUGGGCGCAAGCCUGAUGCAGCGACGCCGCGUGCGGGAUGGAGGCCUUCGGGUUGUAAACCGCUUUUGUUCAAGGGCAAGGCACGGUUUCGGCCGUGUUGAGUGGAUUGUUCGAAUAAGCACCGGCUAACUACGUGCCAGCAGCCGCGGUAAUACGUAGGGUGCGAGCGUUAUCCGGAUUUAUUGGGCGUAAAGGGCUCGUAGGCGGUUCGUCGCGUCCGGUGUGAAAGUCCAUCGCCUAACGGUGGAUCUGCGCCGGGUACGGGCGGGCUGGAGUGCGGUAGGGGAGACUGGAAUUCCCGGUGUAACGGUGGAAUGUGUAGAUAUCGGAAAGAAACA